GUAGGUUUACCUAAAAAAAGACACACUGCUGUCAUUUCUACAUCUACAUUUAAACCAGUACAUCUAAACGACAUUUCUCACGGAUAUAACGCAUUUAAAGUUAAAGAUCUUAGCUUCACACAGUAAAGAUGCACGAAGUGGCAUGCUGUACCUCAACCAACUAAAUAUACUGCAAGCGCACAGAUUGAAUUUCAUGCAAACUGAUACGAAUGAACGCACGGUCAUGCCCUCACCACCUCCACAAAAACACGUACGUCUCCACCACCCUUUCAAAUGCCCUCCUCAACUCCUUCCCCAAGUCCUGUGUCCUAUGUCUCGAAGCCUUACAAAUAUGUCUCUACGGAUACAACUUGGAGAGAUGGAUUAUUCAAGCUGUUACCACAUUAAAGUGUUCUGUCCAUCUUAAAUGUGGUUACUUGGGAACCUUGAUACAAGACUGCUGAGCAGUAACAAAAAUGAUUUGUAAUUGCUUGAAUGGUAAUGCUUUUAAAAUUGAGC
Clupea harengus (Atlantic herring) is the source of this 498-nucleotide long non-coding RNA. Lineage: Eukaryota; Metazoa; Chordata; Actinopteri; Clupeiformes; Clupeidae. The record is from Ensembl.